Podarcis muralis (Common wall lizard) is the source of this 1236-nucleotide non-coding RNA. NCBI's taxonomy places the organism in Eukaryota, Metazoa, Chordata, Lepidosauria, Squamata, Lacertidae. The record is from RefSeq and is a predicted model, not a curated record.
CCGCUCUCCAAGCGCCGCCUCCCAUUGGGCGGCUAAGCGCGACCGGGGGCGUGGCUCAUGCUAAUCGGGCAGCAGAACAACUGCCCGCUUGGAUGACUGCCAGUGCACUGAAGUGAAAUCCUGACAAGUCAGAGAAGUCGGGCUAUCUCAUGGAGCUUUCAGCUUGAUUCACUCCAACUGGAUUCAAUCUCCACUUGAUUCACUCCAACUGCAUUAUGGCUAAUAAUCAACUGAAAAGACGAAACCAACGGACUUGGAACACUGACAGUGGUUGGUGUGAGGGAAAUGGAAACUUGGGAGGAGUGAGAGUGAUACUGAAAAUCCUGGAAAAGGACAUGGCAGGCUGGGGGACACCCUGAAGAGAAGCACUCCGCCCUGAACCAUUUUGUUGCUUGUCCAAUGUGUUUCCCUUAAUAAGGAAAUCAACUUAAAUAUGGCUGUCCCAGUAUCUAUGAAGCUGAUUCGGAUGAGGGGGGUAAUGUGUUGGUAACAAAAUAUGACUGUUGCUGAGCCCUGCAUAUAAUUUAGGAAGUUAAGUAUGUCAAGCCCUGUAUAUAAUUUAGGAAGUCUAGCCAAUGGUAAAGUUCACUGAGAGAGAGAGAGAAAGAGAGACAGAUACGGGGACUUCCACAGCCCAAGGCAGAACAACUAAGUUCAACACCUAACAACAAAAUGGAAAACAUUUAAUGAGCCAGAAAGACACAACAAUGUGCAUAUGAUACUGACAGAUAAUUAACAAAUUGCAUUUAAUUUACGUUGUUGUUCAGCUACAGCUGGUAGAUGGGUGAUGGAGCUCAGACUAGAGGCCUGCAACCAAUGUUUCAGCUGGGAAAUACGCCUAAUGUCCAUCUGCGCGCACACACACACACACACACACACACACAGCAGGCCUCCAUGCAGUCUCUUUCAGCAAACUUCCACAUCCUUUCUCACACCAUCUUAACUCCCCUGCCUCCAUGCAGUCACUUUCAGCAAACUUCCACAUCCUUUCUUACACCAUCUUAACCACAACUCCAUUUCCCUCUCUCUCUCCCUCCUGCUCAUUAUCCUGUGAUAAAUAGAUUCUUCUAAAAACUGGCCAUGACUAGAAAGCAUGGCAUUCCGAUUUGUCACUUUCAAGACACUUGCUGAGCUCAUCUUGAGGCUUGCAGCAUCUCUACAACAUACUUACACAGGAAUCUUGACCACCACCGAAGGGGAUCAAAGUAUUAUUUUUGAAUAGAUUCUUAUAAAGCA